AUGGAACCAGCCUUCGUUUCCCAAGGGUUUUGUCCUCCAGAACUUCUCGGGAAGGGCGUACCACAAGAGGGUAUAAACGUAUUUGCGAUUCUACAGCAUUCCCAUCUUCUGGGCAAAGAAAUGAUAACACGUCUCUACCGAAAUGGUAGCGAACUCGAACCACUGGCUGUCGACAGACAUUAUGAUUUUGAUUAUCAGGACAUGCGCUACCUUUCGAAGGAGAGAAAGAUAUAUCCGGAUGACAAAGUCGAGGUGAAAUGCGUUUACGAUUCGAGCCACAAACAAGAUAUAACAUGGA
This is a long non-coding RNA of Mizuhopecten yessoensis (Yesso scallop), 298 nucleotides long. RefSeq lists it as uncharacterized. The record is from RefSeq and is a predicted model, not a curated record. The transcript has 3 exons. Lineage: Eukaryota; Metazoa; Mollusca; Bivalvia; Pectinida; Pectinidae.